Molecule: non-coding RNA, 119 nt
Organism: Picea glauca (white spruce)
Lineage: Eukaryota; Viridiplantae; Streptophyta; Pinopsida; Pinales; Pinaceae
Source: Rfam
GGGUGUGAUUAUAAUGAUGUUAAUGCACCAAAUCUCAUCAAAACUUCAUAGUUAAGUGCAUUUGGACUAGAUUAGUAUUGGGAUGGGUGACCUUUCAGGAAGUUCUAGUGUUGCACCCU